Molecule: ribosomal RNA, 253 nt
Filed under: uncultured bacterium
Lineage: Bacteria
Description: partial 16S ribosomal RNA
Rfam family: Bacterial small subunit ribosomal RNA
Source: RNAcentral
UACGUAGGCAGCAAGCGUUGUUCGGAGUUACUGGGCGUAAAGGGUGCGUAGGCGGCUUUUUAAGUUUGGUGUGAAAUCUCCCGGCUCAACUGGGAGGGUGCGCCGAAUACUGAGAGGCUAGAGUGUGGGAGAGGAAAGUGGAAUUCCUGGUGUAGCGGUGAAAUGCGUAGAUAUCGUCUGGAACGCCGAAGGUGAAAACAGCUCGCUGGGGCUGCGCUGACGCUGAGACACGAAAGCCAGGGGAGCGAACGGG